This 45-nucleotide microRNA precursor is filed under the name Canis lupus familiaris (dog). RNAcentral's name for it is "miRNA (ENSCAFG00000050321.1, ENSCAFG00845017052.1)". The record is from RNAcentral. Lineage: Eukaryota; Metazoa; Chordata; Mammalia; Carnivora; Canidae.
CUUUGAAGCCAAGCAGUGACUUCUCACUAGCUGUGAAAGUCCUAG